UUUCGAUUUGUUUUGGUCCGGCAUUUCGUGUAACUUUUCAUUUCAAUUUGCUGAACGAUUCGGAGCUGAUGCUGAUCGAAACCUUCGGAAUUCCGGCCCAAACUAAUUGUAGUUCCUGCUGAAGGAUGCGAGUUGCUCCUGAUUGCGUUCCCUUUAUGGAAUGGUUGCAUUCUGGCUGUUCAUCAGCUUUCGAUCCAAACCCCCUUGGUUUAGAAAACAAUGAUGUGUGUUGCGAUGCUCCUAUAGGUGGUCAGACGACAAUUUUACACAGCUAGCUGCAAUGACCCAAUCGAAAAAUGCUCCUGAAACAUCGAAUCCGAGAGCGGCAAAUGGUAUGUUUUUCAGUUUUCAGAUGUUGUGGCCUACACUCGAUACCGUCACACGAUGCUACGUUGACCAGGGACUAAUGUUUGAACUUGAACGAUUAAUCCAAUCUCGUCCUCCUGUUAGCUGAAUCGAUGAAUUUUGAACUCAAACCCGAAAAA
This is a long non-coding RNA of Uranotaenia lowii, 485 nucleotides long. RefSeq lists it as uncharacterized. The transcript is spliced from 3 exons. The record is from RefSeq and is a predicted model, not a curated record. NCBI's taxonomy places the organism in Eukaryota, Metazoa, Arthropoda, Insecta, Diptera, Culicidae.